This is a long non-coding RNA of Corvus hawaiiensis (hawaiian crow), 1531 nucleotides long. RefSeq lists it as uncharacterized. NCBI's taxonomy places the organism in Eukaryota, Metazoa, Chordata, Aves, Passeriformes, Corvidae. The transcript is spliced from 3 exons. The record is from RefSeq and is a predicted model, not a curated record.
CAUUUAUGUGUGAAAGCUCUGCCACAGCCCUGAGGAACAUGGAAUUAAAAGUUUGUAGCUCCCUGGGUGACUUCUUGGUGAUAGCUUUUGUGCAAGCCUGGUUUCAGUUCUGUUUCCUAAAAUUGCAGCUCAAAAUCCUGGAAGUAUUUCUUUAUGCACCAAAGUGACAGACCUCCAUGGAGCCUGCACACAGCUCUGCCAGCUGCUGAGAAUUUCGUGUCUGAACAGCUGUCAAGGCAAAAGCUCAGCUGUGUGAAUCAUUAAAACUGCUUCUCAGCUCGCCACUGUCACAGAAAUAUGGGAUGUGAGAAGCUCAAAUCCAGUUCUUCAAAUGCUCAAAGGAGGGAGACCAGCUGUCCCACCGACCAAGAAAUCAUUUGGCUCACAAGGCUGCAAGGUCUGUUCAGAGGAGAGGCUUCAUCUCCUUGAAGCCCAACCAUGCACUUGUUUGGCAAGGAGGAAAGCAAGUGUGAGUGUGUUGGUUCAUCCCUCCCCCGCUCCUGUUCAGGCCUUUCCACAAGAUCUUGGUGGGGAAGCAUCUCUUGAUCAUACUGGGAACUCUUGGAAAGCUAAGGUGGGUGGCAGUACUGACCGUACCAGGAACUCCUGCUGCCUCACGUAGGUGGGAGAUGACAGAGGGAAUAAUCAGUCAUCCCCUGACAGCCUUGGAAUGUUCCUUAUCUGAAAUGUAGCUCAAGUGGGACAGUACCAUCCUCACUGGAAUUUCAAAAAUUCCAGUAACAACUAACCCAGAUUGCAGCUAGGAUGAAAAUAUAUCAAGGGCUUAAGACAACCAUCUCACAGCCCUAAAAACGUGGUCCUAAGAGAGACCCUUUGAGCUCUUCUGGACUGCAGUGGGCUGCAUCAGUAUUUCCCUCUCUCUGGGAUGCCUCUCAGAGUGCCCAAACUCUCAAGUAUGCGAAAUUCAGAGAAGCGUCACCUGGCAACAGAACCUGGACUGAUAUCCCACUCCUCGAGCCUCAAUACCCCACCUCGCCCCCAUUAAGAAAUGCCAAAAAGGCAUUAGACAUGUUUCACUGAUUCUUGAGGGGAAUGUUUUAAUACAUAUACCUGUGUACUUAUACUUUACAUAUCCAUGCCUGUGUGUGUAUUACCUUUGUACAUUUGCAUACACAUAUCUGCGUGUGUGCCUUGACUUGGACACCCAAUAGCAAAUAUAGUAUACGUGUUAUUAUCUUGAAUCCAUAACUGUUAUCACUGUUUAGAGUUGAUCCUUGGUUAAUCUAAUAUUUAAGUGCUUCUAGAUCCUUUAGACAUAAACAAUUGACCACGUCUGAGCCUAAGAUCGGAUCCAGCCAUAUGUGGGAACCUUUCUGAGAAGCAGUUUGGAAAGCAAGGGAGUCCACUCUGAAUCUCAAGACCCACCAGAGAGUCUCCCUUAAUCUUUCCUUCCUUACCCCUUUCUACAUCCCUGGCCUCCAUAUAAAUCACUCUAAAUUGAUGCUAAUUUGGUUUUCCUCUAUAUAUAUUAUCCAUGCAGUAGGUAUUAGAGUAAGCCUUGUCAUCGAAC